Molecule: long non-coding RNA, 3359 nt
Organism: Mercenaria mercenaria
Lineage: Eukaryota; Metazoa; Mollusca; Bivalvia; Venerida; Veneridae
Exons: 2
Source: RefSeq, a predicted model, not a curated record
ACCACUUGACCCAGAAUGUUGAAACUUCAUAGAAUGCUUGGGCAUGAAGAGUAGAUGACCCCUAUUGAUUUUGGGGUCACUCCGUCAAAGGUCAAGGUCACAGGGGCCUGAACAUUGAAAACCAUUUCCAAUCAAUAACUAGAGAACCACUUGACCCAGAAUGUUGAAACUUCAUAGGAUGAUUGGUCAUAAAGAGUAAUUGACCCCUAUUGAUUUUGGGGUCACUCCAUCAAAGGUCAAGGUCACAGGGGCCUGAACAUGGAAAACCAUUUCUGAUCAAUAACUAGAGAACCACUUGACCCAGAAUGUUGAAACUUCAUAGAAUGAUUGUACAUGCAAAGUAGAUGACCCCUAUCGAUUUUGGGGUCACUCCAUUAAAGGUCAAGGUCACAGGGGCCUGAACAUUGAAAACCAUUUCCGGUCAAUAACUUGAGAACCAUUUGACCCAGAGUGUUGAAACUUAAUAGGAUGAUUGGUCAUGCAGAGUAGAUGACCCCUAACGAUUUUGGGGUCACUCUGUGAAAGGUCAAGGUCACAGGGGCCCGAACAUUGAAAACCAUUUCCGGUCAGUAACUUGAGAACCACUUGACCCAGAAUGAUGAAAUUUCAUAGGAUGAUUGGUCAUGCAGAGUAGAUGACCCCUAACGAUUUUAGGGUCACUCUGUUAAAGGUCAAGGCCACAGGGGCCUGAACAUGUAAAACCAUUUCCAAUCAAUAACUUGAGAACCUCUCGACCCAAAAUGUUGAAACUUCAUAGGAUGAUUGUUCAUGCAGAGUAAAUGACCCCUAUUGUUUUUGGGGGCACUCCGUUAAAGGUCAAAGUCACAGGGGCCUGAACAUUGAUAACCAGUUUCGAUCAAUAACUUGAGAACCACUUGACCCAGAAUGUUGAAACUUCAUAGGAUGAUUGAACAUGCAGGGUAGAUGACCCCUAUUGAUUUUGGGGUCAGUCUACUAAAGGUCAAGGUCACAGUGGCCUGUUCAUGUAAAAUCAUUUUUUGGAAAUAACUUGAGAACCACUUGACCUACAAUGUUGAAAUUUAAUAGGAUGAUUGGACAUGCAGAGUAGAUGACCCCUAUUUAUUUUGAGGUCACUUGAUCAAAGGUCAAGGUCACAGGAGCCUGAACAGUGACUUGAGAACCAUUAGGCCAAGAGUGUUGAAAUUUAGCGGGAUGACUGGACAUGCCUAGUAGAUGAUCCCUAUUGCAGCCAACCAUCAGUGUCUCUUUGACUUUCGCUCCUGACCCCUAUUGACUUCUUGCCUAUAGGACUUUGCAUUGGGGGAGACAUGCGCUUUUUUACAAAAGCAUUUUCUAGUUUCAAUUUUUUUUUCUUUGGUGGGGAAGAGGUGAACUUACUUGCUAAAUGAUAUUCCUGUCAUGAUGAAGGUGCAAAUUCUGAUCGAUUAUGAAAGGUAAAGCCUUCUAUUUUUAUAACAUUAAAGGCGUUUAUUAGCAUAUUGGAUUAAAUUUUAGAUAUUCUUUUUGAUGUGAAUCUGAUGUUGAGCUGCACCAGAAAUAAAUAAAAAAACUUUUAACUGCUCAGUUGAAAUCCAUGAUUUUACAUCCCCACAAAGUGGCCAUUUUAUACUAGGAUACUUUUAUAAAAGUAUGUCAGAAAGUCCAUUUGAAGAGGUGACAGUUUAGUUUUAAUCUAAAACCUGUAAACAAUCUAUAGAAUUUUCAUUAUACAUGUAGUAUGUGACUCGCUUCUGUUGUUUGGUAGUACAAAUGUAGUUUAAUUCUGAGAUUAUUACAUAUCUAAGGUCGUACCAAAACCAUAUUCACUAUAUACUGUAAAAGCGCAUAUUUUCGCUGGGUCAAAAUUUCUCAAAUUUGAAAUUUUGAAUAUGUUCGCGGGGUUCAAUAUUCGCGAAAUUGUAAAAAUUGGUAUCGUACUUGAAUUUGAAUUAUACUUAUGGUGAAUAUUUACGUGAGGAUUAAUUUUCGCAAGAUGUAGGUUGAUCCUCGCGAAUAUAGCGAAAAUUAAACCGUCGCGAAAAUUUCUGCUUUUACAGUAGAUUUAUUGUCAGGAGAAAUUUUUGGAAAGUGAUGUAAUAUUAUUGUGUUGCGCAAUGGAAAGUCUGCUUUUGAUAUUAUAUGUGGCGAGUUGUUAAUCUUUGACAGUGUGCUAACUUGAAUAAUUUUGUUCGUUAUUGUUACGCAGAAGUAGUUUUUCAUCGAAUAGAGAAAUAUCACUAUGCAUAAUUGUAAAUUAGCAGUCCAUAAAACUUAAAAGACACAUGCAUUGGAGUGAUUUUGUACAAAUGGGAAUACUAGUUUUGCAUUACUUUCUGCCACCUUGAUGCUGAAUAUAUGAUAGAAAAGAUUUGUGCAUGUAGGUACAACAGUAUUGCCACACAGGAUGGGGUGUAAACAAAUGAGAUAACACUUCAAAAUUUUUAUCAUUCUCUAAGGUAAGAAUUUUGCCUCUCAUUAAUUUCGCCUUUACUAUAUUUGGCUUUUUUUUUCUUAAAUUCCUUUUUUCAAUACAGAAUUGGGCAUCAUGGUGAUGAAAUUGGUAGAUUUUCUUUCUUUUAAGAAAACUAUUUCCGAGAAGUAGGAGACACCAGACAUGAACAUCUCGCAAAAGUGAUUUUGAUUGGUUCUUGUCAGAAAAUACAUAAAUCUGGUGUUUUUUUUCAUACUUAGGAUCUUGCAUUUUGUAAAAAUCAUUUUAUGCCUCAAAUUGUACAGUACUGUUUUUGCAUUGUGUACAAUGUUCCUUUGAUAUCGCAGAUGAAUGAUAGAAUACUUAGUGAUGAUGCUACUUAAUUAUUGAAGAUUUGUGUUUUUUUUUAAGAAGACUAUGAGCUUUAACCUUUACCAUGCUAAAUUUCUAAAAUGAACUAGUCCAUCAUUCAAUUUUGGCAGCACCACUUAUUAUUCAAAGGGAUGCUCACUUAGAAUUUACUGACUGAAUAGCACAGUGCAGACACGGAUGUGCAGGCUGAUCUUGGUCUGCACAGGUGGCAAAGACAAAAUCACUUGCCGCCAGCAGGCUAAAGGUUAAGUUAUUUGUAUUAUCUGAUAAUUUUCAGUUUUGUUAUAAAAGUAAUAAAGAAAUGUUACAGUUUUUAUUUACGUCGAUUUAUAAGCAUUGAGUUAAAAUUGGCGUUUAAAUUUGCUUAAUCAAAUUCUUAAGUUGAACUUUUUUAUUUAGUAUUAAUAUUAUUAUUUAUAAAAUUGUAGGCAAGUGAAGGCACACAGUCCUGGUUUCAUUUGUGAAUUUAUCUUGUUUGUAAAUUAAAAGGCUUUUUCGUGUAUUUAUUGUAUACUUGUUUAAAAUUGUAAACACUGUUAUCUUUUAUGAUUCAAUAUAUAUAUAUAUAUAUAUAAAUAUAGAAGACAUUACAAAA